AUUGAACGCUGGCGGCAUGCCUUACACAUGCAAGUCGAACGGUAACAGGUCUUCGGAUGCUGACGAGUGGCGAACGGGUGAGUAAUACAUCGGAACGUGCCCGAUCGUGGGGGAUAACGGAGCGAAAGCUUUGCUAAUACCGCAUACGAUCUACGGAUGAAAGCAGGGGACCGCAAGGCCUUGCGCGGACGGAGCGGCCGAUGGCAGAUUAGGUAGUUGGUGGGAUAAAAGCUUACCAAGCCGACGAUCUGUAGCUGGUCUGAGAGGACGACCAGCCACACUGGGACUGAGACACGGCCCAGACUCCUACGGGAGGCAGCAGUGGGGAAUUUUGGACAGUGGGCGAAAGCCUGAUCCAGCCAUGCCGCGUGCAGGAUGAAGGCCUUCGGGUUGUAAACUGCUUUUGUACGGAACGAAAAGACUCCUUCUAAUAAAGGGGGUCCAUGACGGUACCGUAAGAAUAAGCACCGGCUAACUACGUGCCAGCAGCCGCGGUAAUACGUAGGGUGCAAGCGUUAAUCGGAAUUACUGGGCGUAAAGCGUGCGCAGGCGGUUAUAUAAGACAGAUGUGAAAUCCCCGGGCUCAACCUGGGAACUGCAUUCGUGACUGUAUAGCUAGAGUACGGCAGAGGGGGAUGGAAUUCCGCGUGUAGCAGUGAAAUGCGUAGAUAUGCGGAGGAACACCGAUGGCGAAGGCAAUCCCCUGGACCUGUACUGACGCUCAUGCACGAAAGCGUGGGGAGCAAACA
RNAcentral lists this ribosomal RNA (749 nucleotides) under uncultured Acidovorax sp. RNAcentral describes it as "bacterial SSU rRNA". It matches the Rfam family "Bacterial small subunit ribosomal RNA", at positions 28 to 774 of the family's 1533-position model. The record is from RNAcentral. Lineage: Bacteria; Pseudomonadati; Pseudomonadota; Betaproteobacteria; Burkholderiales; Comamonadaceae.